This 253-nucleotide ribosomal RNA is filed under the name uncultured bacterium. RNAcentral describes it as "partial 16S ribosomal RNA". It matches the Rfam family "Bacterial small subunit ribosomal RNA", at positions 524 to 776 of the family's 1533-position model. The record is from RNAcentral.
UACGAAGGGGGCUAGCGUUGUUCGGAUUUACUGGGCGUAAAGCGCACGUAGGCGGAUCGUUAAGUCGGGGGUGAAAUCCUGGAGCUCAACUCCAGAACUGCCUUCGAUACUGGCGAUCUUGAGUCCGGAAGAGGUGAGUGGAACUCCUAGUGUAGAGGUGGAAUUCGUAGAUAUUAGGAGGAACACCAAUAGCGAAGGCAGCUCGCUGGGACGGUACUGACGCUAAGGCGCGAAAGCGUGGGGAGCGAACAGG